Molecule: ribosomal RNA, 292 nt
Filed under: uncultured bacterium
Lineage: Bacteria
Description: partial 16S ribosomal RNA
Rfam family: Bacterial small subunit ribosomal RNA
Source: RNAcentral
GUGUCAGCAGCCGCGGUAAGACGAACCGUGCGAACGUUGUUCGGAUUCACUGGGCUUAAAGGGCGCGUAGGCGGGCUCUCAAGUCGGGGGUGAAAUCCCACCGCUUAACGGUGGAAGUGCCUCCGAUACUGGGAGCCUGGAGGGAGGUAGGGGUGUGUGGAACUUCCGGUGGAGCGGUGAAAUGCGUAGAUAUCGGAAGGAACGCCGGUGGCGAAAGCGACGCACUGGACCUCUUCUGACGCUGAGGCGCGAAAGCCAGGGGAGCAAACGGGAUUAGAAACCCUUGUAGUCC